Molecule: ribosomal RNA, 468 nt
Filed under: uncultured bacterium
Lineage: Bacteria
Description: partial 16S ribosomal RNA
Rfam family: Bacterial small subunit ribosomal RNA
Source: RNAcentral
GACGAACGCUGGCGGUGUGCUUAACACAUGCAAGUCGAACGGUAAGGCCCUUUCGGGGGUACACGCGUGGCGAACGGGUGAGUAACACGUGAGUAACCUGCCCUCAUCUCUGGGAUAACAGUCGGAAACGGUUGCUAAUACUGGAUAUGAGCUUGCAAGGCAUCUUGUGGGUUGGAAAGAUUUUUUUUGGUUGGGGAUGGACUCGCGGCCUAUCAGCUUGUUGGUGAGGUAGUGGCUCACCAAGGCUUCGACGGGUAGCCGGCCUGAGAGGGCGACCGGCCACAUUGGGACUGGGAUACGGCCCAAACUCCUACGUGAGGCAGCAGUGGGGAAUAUUGCACAAUGGACGGAAGUCGGAUGUAGCAACGCCGCGUGCGGGAUGACGGCCUUCGGGUUGUAAACCGCUUUCAAUUGUGACGAAGCUUUUUUGUGACGGUAGCAGUAGAAGAAGCACCGGCUAACUACGUG